AGAGUUUGAUUAUGGCUCAGGACGAACGGCUGGCGGCGUGCCUAAUACAUGCAAGUCGAACGGAGUUAGAGACUUCGGUUUCUAACUUAGUGGCGAACGGGUGAGUAACGCGUGAGCAACCUGACUCAAAGAGGGGGACAACAGCUGGAAACGGCUGCUAAUACCGCAUAAGACCACAAUGUCGCAUGACGAAGGGGUCAAAGAAUUUCGCUUUGAGAGGGGCUCGCGUCCCAUUAGAUAGUUGGUGAGGUAACGGCCCACCAAGUCGACGAUGGGUAGCCGAGCUGAGAGGCUGAUCGGCCACACUGGAACUGAGACACGGUCCAGACUCCUACGGGAGGCAGCAGUAGGGAAUAUUGGGCAAUGGGCGCAAGCCCUGACCCAGCAACGCCGCGUGAGGGAAGAAGGUUUUCGGAUUGUAAACCUCUGUCCUAUGUGACGAAGGAAGUGACGGUAGCAUAGGAGGAAGCCCCGGCUAACUACGUGCCAGCCGCCGC
Molecule: ribosomal RNA, 497 nt
Filed under: uncultured bacterium
Lineage: Bacteria
Description: bacterial SSU rRNA
Rfam family: Bacterial small subunit ribosomal RNA
Source: RNAcentral